CAGCCGUAAACUAUGCGCGUUAGGUGUAUCGGUGACCACGAGUUACCGAGGUGCCGAAGGGAAACCGUGAAACGUGCCGCCGGGGAAGUACGGUCGCAAGGCUGAAACUUAAAGGAAUUGGCGGGGGAGCACCACAACAGGUGGAGCCUGCGGUUUAAUUGGACUCAACGCCGGGAAGCUCACCGGAUAGGACAGCAGAAUGAUUGCCGGGCUGAAGACCCUGCAUGACUAGCUGAGAGGAGGUGCAUGGCGUCAGUGACU
Molecule: ribosomal RNA, 261 nt
Filed under: uncultured archaeon
Lineage: Archaea
Description: partial 16S ribosomal RNA
Rfam family: Archaeal small subunit ribosomal RNA
Source: RNAcentral